RNAcentral lists this long non-coding RNA (2640 nucleotides) under Gossypium barbadense (sea-island cotton). RNAcentral's name for it is "long non-coding RNA (GBAR_LNC002604)". The record is from RNAcentral. Lineage: Eukaryota; Viridiplantae; Streptophyta; Magnoliopsida; Malvales; Malvaceae.
GGACAGUCCUAAUACAGAUGGAAUUCACCUACAGAACUCCAAUGAUGUGCUAAUUCAUAGCAGUGAUCUCGCCUGUGGUAAUUAUUUAAAUUAUCUUGCUUGUAAAUAAGUAUUGUUGCCAUACCGCAUUCAGUUAAACAAUGGUCAGCCAUACGCUGAGCUCCAGCAAUGAAUGGAGUAAGACCUGCGGGUCAACAUUUAAGGAUAAAGGGUUAACAUAAGACCUUGUGAACAUCUGACAGUAUCAGAGAAAAGGUGCUGAAUGAGGUAGUUCUGAUAGGAUACUGAAAGACACGUUUCACAAUCUUAUCCUGCUAAUGCUUUCAUUCCACACAUUCUCCAUCACCCAUAAUAUUUUGACAAGUAGAUGCCAGCAAUAUCCAAACUUCAAGAGUUACAGUCACUGGUCACUUGACAUGUGUCAUAUUCAGAAGAAUGGUGUGGCAUCAACCACCCAAAAUAGGAUUAGAGUUGAACAACACAGAGCAAAGCAUACAUUUUUGUUUUAUUCACUCAAGUUUUGGUUUGCCUGUCUCCACUUACAGCUCGAACUUUUUGUUUUAAUCCCCUAGCCUCUUGUCCACUUUUCUUAAAAACAGGCUCAUGUUCUAAUUAAUUAAUAAGAUAAUAAUAGGCCCUCAGGAGUCUAAUGCUUCCGAAAAAUGCUUAAAUUGAAUCAACUCUAAGCACAGGGAUAAUUGACUAGUACAUAAAGACAUCUAUUUUUGUGUUUAUACUAACCUGAGCUCUUAAAAAUCUAUGAAUCGGUGCAGGAGAUGACUGUGUUUCCAUACAAACAGGAUGCUCAAAUGUAUACAUACACAAUGUGAACUGUGGACCAGGGCAUGGAAUAAGCAUUGGAAGCUUAGGAAGGGAUAAUUCUAAAGCCUGUGUCUCAAACAUCACUGUCAGGGAUAUCGUUAUGCAUAACACAAUGAAUGGUGUCAGAAUUAAGACAUGGCAGGUAACUAUACAAACAUUAUCACUCCCCCCCCCCCCCAAAUGAUUAAAAACUCAUCAAGUUUAAAACAUAGCAAUUAGCUAAACUGGCUUUUAAUUAAAUACAAAAUGCAUCUAAAACUUCGUACUUUAACCAUAAUUUAUAACAAGACUAACUUCGGGGAAUAUAUUUCAAGUUACUUGCAUACUCGAGUUCAUGUGUGGUGAAAAACUAUACAUAUAUGAAAAACAUGUGUCCUUUUUGAAAUAUUACCUACACCUUUAUAUCUUAUUUCUUUUCUUUAAUAGGUCCAAAAAUCUUAUCUAUUACCACUUACUAGUGAUAAAAAAGAAGAAGAAAAAGUUAGUGCAAGUUCCUAUCAUUCUAAGUUCUUUUACAACUCUAGGUUGCUAGUCAGUUUUCUUACAUAUAAUCUCAAAUCACAUCUACAGGGUGGAUCGGGAUCUGUUCAGGGGGUUCUGUUCUCGAACAUUCAAGUUUCUGAGGUCCAACUUCCAAUUGUGAUCGAUCAGUUCUACUGUGACAAAAGGAAAUGUUCGAACGAAACAGCUGCAGUCGCUCUAUCAGGAAUCACCUAUGAAAAAAUAAGAGGAACAUACACAGUAAAACCUGUCCACUUCGCCUGCAGCGAUAGCCUUCCAUGUAUAGGUGUAACCUUAUCUGCCAUUGAACUAAAACCAGUGCAGGAACAUUACUACCUCUACGAUCCAUUCUGUUGGCAAACUUUCGGAGAGUUGACCACCCCUACUGUUCCCCCAAUCAGUUGUUUACAAAUUGGGAAGCCAACAAAUAACAGAGUCCAAUCUGAUCAUGAUGUGUGCUGAGCAUUAGUGUAGGUAAUUCAUGUGGUGCAUUCGCUUGUGUGGUCGGCAGCGAUCUCCUGACCCCUCACGCCAUUCGUUUGUUAAGUGUAGAGUGUAUAUUUAUUUAGGCCUCAUCCUAGCUUAUAGGCAUUCUUCUUUGAAUGGGAUCACACCGGUUCCUAGUUUCCACUAUGAGAGAUUAUACAAGCAUGUUAUAUCAGGUAGAGUCCAAUACUGGAGUACAAGACUGUCUUGUUCAUUCAGGCAGAUUAUUUGAUUGUGAGAUAUUUAUACAAAUGCAUUAUCCACCAGAUGUUCAUCAAUAUAUAUAGACGUAUUGUUCCUUGAAUUUAACCCACUUGAAAGACUGUACUUCAAAAGCAUAAGGUUAAACGAAAUUGAGCAUGCACAAACUGUCCAUGUCUAUCUAAGAAAGCAAACAAGUAAGAUCAGACAUUGACAAAGAACCACCCAAGAAGCAGGUAUUAAGCUCAAAUGACAAUAUUAUGUUCUAAGAAACAGAUUAUAUAUCAAAAGGAACAAGCUAAGACAAAGAAUAAAUAUCAAUAUAAACCAAAGAAAACCAUGAACUGCAAUCGUAGAUGACAUGAUUUGUUUUCUGAAUCUAAUAACUCAUGAAUUAUAUUCACAUUUAAACAAACAAUUCAACUAUAAUUCAAGCCGGUAACCUGAAAAAAUCAAACAAGUAGAGUAAGUAGGGUGCCAACAGAUUGAUCGAUAAGAAGAUCGGGCGUCGUCUCCCACCUUAUAUCUCUCUGGAUUUUCCGUCGAAUCCAUAGAUUCUUCUCCCCGAUUCUGCAAAUAAAAGCAUUAGCAGAGAUCUAACUAAAAAUCACUGACGUUCUUACAUCAGAC